Molecule: ribosomal RNA, 689 nt
Filed under: uncultured Staphylococcus sp.
Lineage: Bacteria; Bacillati; Bacillota; Bacilli; Caryophanales; Staphylococcaceae
Description: bacterial SSU rRNA
Rfam family: Bacterial small subunit ribosomal RNA
Source: RNAcentral
CAAGUCGAGCGAACGGACGAGAAGCUUGCUUCUCUGAUGUUAGCGGCGGACGGGUGAGUAACACGUGGAUAACCUACCUAUAAGACUGGGAUAACUUCGGGAAACCGGAGCUAAUACCGGAUAAUAUUUUGAACCGCAUGGUUCAAAAGUGAAAGACGGUCUUGCUGUCACUUAUAGAUGGAUCCGCGCUGCAUUAGCUAGUUGGUAAGGUAACGGCUUACCAAGGCAACGAUGCAUAGCCGACCUGAGAGGGUGAUCGGCCACACUGGAACUGAGACACGGUCCAGACUCCUACGGGAGGCAGCAGUAGGGAAUCUUCCGCAAUGGGCGAAAGCCUGACGGAGCAACGCCGCGUGAGUGAUGAAGGUCUUCGGAUCGUAAAACUCUGUUAUUAGGGAAGAACAUAUGUGUAAGUAACUGUGCACAUCUUGACGGUACCUAAUCAGAAAGCCACGGCUAACUACGUGCCAGCAGCCGCGGUAAUACGUAGGUGGCAAGCGUUAUCCGGAAUUAUUGGGCGUAAAGCGCGCGUAGGCGGUUUUUUAAGUCUGAUGUGAAAGCCCACGGCUCAACCGUGGAGGGUCAUUGGAAACUGGAAAACUUGAGUGCAGAAGAGGAAAGUGGAAUUCCAUGUGUAGCGGUGAAAUGCGCAGAGAUAUGGAGGUACACCAGUGGCGAAGGCGACUUUC